CCUUGACUUCUGCCAUGAUUCUCCCCAGCCACGUGAAACUUGAGCUAUCUUUGGAAUGAGCAGCCUGCAUUCAGAAAUUGAAGUUGACUUAUAGAGCCAAUAAAAGCCCCUUGGAAGAGCUGGUCUUGUACCUUGUCUAUGCAGUUCCUUUACAGGAUUUCUGAUGUGAAAGUCUUGCUCCGUCAUCCAAGCUGGAGUGCAGUGGUGCAAUCAUAGCUCACUGCAACCUCCACCUCCUGACUGAAGCAAAUCUUAUUCCUAACAGCUUGCAAAGUGGAUUUUAUCAUCAUCAUUUUAAAAAUUAUGGAAUCGAGGAUCAAAGAAGCCAAGUGACUCGUGCAAGAUGACACAGUUAAGUGACAGAACCAGUAGUGAGUCCCAGGUCUCUCUGGAUAUAAAAAGUCCAUGGUUAUUCCACUGUAUCAGUGUUUCCCAAAACUGACUUUAGGUGGAACAUAAAUAAGCUUUUAAGAAACUUUAAUAGUUAUAUGUUUAUUUUAAUGCAUGUUAGAAACAAUUUUAAGCAAAUUCACAAAACCUUUAAUUUCAUGGACAAUAUUGCAAAGGACGGGGAUGUUUUGUUUCAAACUCCUGGCUUCAAGUGAUCCCCCCAUCUUAGCCUCUCAAGUACCUGGGAUUACAAUGUAAGCCAUUGCACGCUGCUGGGACAAGGGUGUUUUGUAAAGUAAAUUUAUUUAGAAAAAAUGU
Molecule: long non-coding RNA, 708 nt
Organism: Homo sapiens (human)
Lineage: Eukaryota; Metazoa; Chordata; Mammalia; Primates; Hominidae
Exons: 3
Source: RefSeq, a predicted model, not a curated record